RNAcentral lists this ribosomal RNA (449 nucleotides) under uncultured bacterium. RNAcentral describes it as "bacterial SSU rRNA". It matches the Rfam family "Bacterial small subunit ribosomal RNA", at positions 28 to 507 of the family's 1533-position model. The record is from RNAcentral.
GACGAACGCUGGCGGCGUGCCUAACACAUGCAAGUCGAGGGUAGCAAUACACUGGCGCACGGGUGAGUAACGCGUAGGUAAUCUGCCCUUAUCCCAGACAUAACAUCGAGAAAUUGGUGCUAAAAUCUGAUGAGGCCUGAGGGUCAAAGUAUUCGUACGGAUAAGGAUGAGCCUGCGUCUGAUUAGCUAGUUGGUAAGGUAAUGGCUUACCGAGGCAACGAUCAGUAGCUGGUUUGAGAGGACGAUCAGCCACACUGGAACUGAGACACGGUCCAGACUCCUACGGGAGGCAGCAGUGAGGAAUUUUGCACAAUGGGGGCAACCCUGAUGCAGCGACGCCGCGUGCGGGAAGACGGAGCUUUGCUCUGUAAACCGCUGUCGUAUGGGAAGAGAAGAUUCUACGGGGAUCUGGGACAGUACCAUAAGAGGAAGCACCGGCUAACUACGUG